This 497-nucleotide ribosomal RNA is filed under the name uncultured bacterium. Its description in RNAcentral is "partial 16S ribosomal RNA". It matches the Rfam family "Bacterial small subunit ribosomal RNA", at positions 28 to 507 of the family's 1533-position model. The record is from RNAcentral.
GAUGAACGCUGGCGGCGUGCCUAAUACAUGCAAGUCGAGCGAACAGACGAGGAGCUUGCUCCUCUGACGUUAGCGGCGGACGGGUGAGUAACACGUGGAUAACCUACCUAUAAGACUGGGAUAACUUCGGGAAACCGGAGCUAAUACCGGAUAAUAUAUUGAACCGCAUGGUUCAAUAGUGAAAGACGGUUUUGCUGUCACUUAUAGAUGGAUCCGCGCCGCAUUAGCUAGUUGGUAAGGUAACGGCUUACCAAGGCAACGAUGGGUAGCCGACCUGAGAGGGUGAUCGGCAACACUGGAACUGGGACACGGGACAUACUCCUACGGGAGGCAGCAGUAGGGAAUAUUCCGCAAUGGGCGAAAGCCUGACGGAGCAACGCCGCGUGAGUGAUGAAGGUCUUCGGAUCGUAAAACUCUGUUAUUGGGGAAGAACAAAUGUGUAAGUAACUAUGCACGUCUUGACGGUACCUAAUCAGAAAGCCACGGCUAACUACGUG